RNAcentral lists this unclassified non-coding RNA (716 nucleotides) under Triodia scintillans. RNAcentral describes it as "partial external transcribed spacer". Lineage: Eukaryota; Viridiplantae; Streptophyta; Magnoliopsida; Poales; Poaceae. The record is from RNAcentral.
GGCUUCCUUGGGGACCUUCGCCGGGCAAGACGGAUGAGGRGGUUCACCACCGAUUCUAGGCAUCAGGACGUUGUGGCUAUCMUCAUUGGAAGGUCGCAUCAUCCCAAUGCCGGAAGAGGUGGUCGUGCUGUGACAACCGGCYUGAGAACGAAAAUUGUUGGAUACAGAAUCACGGUGUGCCCACYGUGUCACCGGCGAGAAGCAGUCUGGCGGCCGAAAGGCUGCUGGUUCUUCCACGUCGUUGGCGUAUGGGUGCAAACAAUAUGGGAUAUAUAGUGCCUGUUCUCGCGCUCUGUGGACUUUCGGUCGUCGUCCUCAUAGCAGACCCGUUGUGCUAAGCACGAUGGGAUGCUCGGGCKUCUUGACCGUUGUGGCUACGCUGGCGCAUGAGAUGUUGUGGACAUGUGGCUGCCUGGAGGCCCCCCGUCGUUGUGCGGCCGACUCCAGGUGCAGUGUCCUUUCAAUUGUAUGGGUUUCAAAACCUGUGUCGUUGACGAGUGCUUGCGUUCUGCUACCCGUUCUGCGGGAAGUAGAGCUUCGUACAACUUGCCUUCGUCGCGUGCGCCCUUUGGGYGUGUCGCGUCGAUCACCUAGCGCUUGCGGUGUUGCCUCGCGGCGUCAGCCAUCUAGGCCGGCAUCGUCUAGGACACCUCGCAAUCGCUCUUGGUCUCGGAUGAUGCUCACUGUAUAGGCUCGUGGCAUUUUGGUGCCUCGUU